RNAcentral lists this ribosomal RNA (301 nucleotides) under uncultured bacterium. RNAcentral describes it as "partial 16S ribosomal RNA". It matches the Rfam family "Bacterial small subunit ribosomal RNA", at positions 509 to 807 of the family's 1533-position model. The record is from RNAcentral.
CAGCCGCCACGGUAAUACGGAGGGUGCAAGCGUUAAUCGGAAUUACUGGGCGUAAAGCGUGCGUAGGCGGUUCGUUAAGUCUGUUGUGAAAUCUUCAGGCUCAACUUGAAGUCUGCAUGGGAAACUGCGGGGUUGGAGUAUGGGAGAGGUGAGUGGAAUUCCUGGUGUAGCGGUGAAAUACGUAGAUAUCAGGAGGAACACCUGUGGCGAAAGCGGCUCACUGGACCAUAACUGACGCUGAGGCACGAAAGCUAGGGGAGCAAACAGGAUUAGAUACCCCCGUAGUCCCUGUCUCUUAUAC